RNAcentral lists this transfer RNA (85 nucleotides) under Spirochaetaceae bacterium. Its description in RNAcentral is "tRNA-Ser". It matches the Rfam family "tRNA". Rfam says of the family: Transfer RNA (tRNA) molecules are approximately 80 nucleotides in length. Their secondary structure includes four short double-helical elements and three loops (D, anti-codon, and T loops). Further hydrogen bonds mediate the characteristic L-shaped molecular structure. tRNAs have two regions of fundamental functional importance: the anti-codon, which is responsible for specific mRNA codon recognition, and the 3' end, to which the tRNAs corresponding amino acid is attached (by aminoacyl-tRNA synthetases). tRNAs cope with the degeneracy of the genetic code in two manners: having more than one tRNA (with a specific anti-codon) for a particular amino acid; and 'wobble' base-pairing, i.e. permitting non-standard base-pairing at the 3rd anti-codon position. Lineage: Bacteria; Pseudomonadati; Spirochaetota; Spirochaetia; Spirochaetales; Spirochaetaceae. The record is from RNAcentral.
GGAAAGAUGCGAGAGCGGUCGAAUCGGGCGGUCUCGAAAACCGUUGUGCCGUAAGGUACCGGGGGUUCGAAUCCCCCUCUUUCCG